GGUGACCUCGGAUCAGGUAGGAUACCCGCGACA
RNAcentral lists this ribosomal RNA (33 nucleotides) under Aspergillus niger. RNAcentral describes it as "partial 28S ribosomal RNA". The record is from RNAcentral. Lineage: Eukaryota; Fungi; Ascomycota; Eurotiomycetes; Eurotiales; Aspergillaceae.